Molecule: long non-coding RNA, 441 nt
Organism: Pristis pectinata (smalltooth sawfish)
Lineage: Eukaryota; Metazoa; Chordata; Chondrichthyes; Rhinopristiformes; Pristidae
Exons: 3
Source: RefSeq, a predicted model, not a curated record
GCCGGCGAGAGGCGUGGGCACCAGUUCAUCUUGUUUACACGGAUAGUGAUAGACUCCUUGCAAGAUUUUAUCCAUUGUGUCUGGAAAACCUCGGAAAAAAGACUUGAUUGCAUAAGAUAUCCAGCACCUCCUCUCCUGUAAUGUGGACUAUCCUCAAGACAUCCCAUUAACUUUCCCUGAGUUUCCUAGUCUUCGAGAGUGGAAGAAUAAAUGGUGUCUUUUGACUACACUGGGGCUGAUGGGAUACCUGACAUUGUAUUAGAGAACUAUGCUUGCAGUCAACUGUAAAUCUUGGCUUGGAGCCAGCAGGUCUGCAGAAGACAGCUGAAACCAGACUUUGAAAUAAAACGGUGCGAGGUCAGCCUUGAGCACACUGACAAGGGGAACUGAUUGGUGUUGUUUUUGUUUUAUCUUGAUCUAUGUGAUACAUUAAGUUCUUAA